GGCGCGGUAGUUCAGUUGGUUAGACUGCCAGCCUGUCACGCUGGAGGUCGAGGGUUCGAGCCCCUUCCGCGUCGCCA
Molecule: transfer RNA, 77 nt
Filed under: Candidatus Spyradocola merdavium
Lineage: Bacteria; Bacillati; Bacillota; Clostridia; Christensenellales; Christensenellaceae
Description: tRNA-Asp
Rfam family: tRNA
About the family: Transfer RNA (tRNA) molecules are approximately 80 nucleotides in length. Their secondary structure includes four short double-helical elements and three loops (D, anti-codon, and T loops). Further hydrogen bonds mediate the characteristic L-shaped molecular structure. tRNAs have two regions of fundamental functional importance: the anti-codon, which is responsible for specific mRNA codon recognition, and the 3' end, to which the tRNAs corresponding amino acid is attached (by aminoacyl-tRNA synthetases). tRNAs cope with the degeneracy of the genetic code in two manners: having more than one tRNA (with a specific anti-codon) for a particular amino acid; and 'wobble' base-pairing, i.e. permitting non-standard base-pairing at the 3rd anti-codon position.
Source: RNAcentral